AACUGACGGGUGAGUAAUGCCUAGGAAUCUGCCUGGUAGUGGGGGACAACGUUUCGAAAGGAACGCUAAUACCGCAUACGUCCUACGGGAGAAAGUGGGGGAUCUUCGGACCUCACGCUAUCAGAUGAGCCUAGGUCGGAUUAGCUAGUUGGUGAGGUAAAGGCUCACCAAGGCGACGAUCCGUAACUGGUCUGAGAGGAUGAUCAGUCACACUGGAACUGAGACACGGUCCAGACUCCUACGGGAGGCAGCAGUGGGGAAUAUUGGACAAUGGGCGAAAGCCUGAUCCAGCCAUGCCGCGUGUGUGAAGAAGGUCUUCGGAUUGUAAAGCACUUUAAGUUGGGAGGAAGGGCAGUAAGUUAAUACCUUGCUGUUUUGACGUUACCAACAGAAUAAGCACCGGCUAACUUCGUGCCAGCAGCCGCGGUAAUACGAAGGGUGCAAGCGUUAAUCGGAAUUACUGGGCGUAAAGCGCGCGUAGGUGGUUCGUUAAGUUGGAUGUGAAAGCCCCGGGCUCAACCUGGGAACUGCAUCCAAAACUGGCGAGCUAGAGUAUGGCAGAGGGUGGUGGAAUUCCUGGAGCAGGUUGCC
Molecule: ribosomal RNA, 591 nt
Filed under: Stutzerimonas stutzeri
Lineage: Bacteria; Pseudomonadati; Pseudomonadota; Gammaproteobacteria; Pseudomonadales; Pseudomonadaceae
Description: bacterial SSU rRNA
Rfam family: Bacterial small subunit ribosomal RNA
Source: RNAcentral